AAAAUACAAGGCAGUUAAAAUGCUUUGUAAUUGGAAUGAUAGAAAUUUAAACCCCUUUUUAAAGUAUCAAUUGGAGGGCAAGUCUGGUGCCAGCAGCCGCGGUAAUUCCAGCUCCAAUAGCGUAUAUUAAAAUUGUUGCAGUUAAAAAGCUCGUAGUUGAAGUUCUGCUGAAAGUAACCGGUCUGCUUUUAAUAAAAGUGGUAUCUUGGUAUGUAUUUAGCAAUGAUGUCCUUUGAAGUGUUUUUUACUUUAUUGUAAUAAAGCAUAUUCAGGACUUUUACUUUGAGAAAAUUAGAGUGUUUCUAGCAGGCUAACGCUUUGAAUACUGCAGCAUGGAAUAAUAAGAUAGGAUUUUAGUUCUACAUUAUUGGUUUUAAGAGCUAAAUUAAUGAUUGAUAGGGACAGUUGGGGGCAUUUGUAUUUAACUGUCAGAGGUGAAAUUCUUAGAUUUGUUAAAGACAAACUACUGCGAAAGCAUUUGCCAAAGAUGUUUUCAUUAAUCAAGAACGAAAGUUAGGGGAUCGAAGACGAUCAGAUACCGUCGUAGUCUUAACUAUAAACUAUGCCGACUAGAGAUUGGAGGUCGUCUUUAUAAAC
Molecule: ribosomal RNA, 597 nt
Filed under: Hepatozoon canis
Lineage: Eukaryota; Apicomplexa; Hepatozoidae
Description: SSU rRNA
Rfam family: Eukaryotic small subunit ribosomal RNA
Source: RNAcentral